CCUACGGGAGACAGCAGUAGGGAAUCUUCCACAAUGGGCGCAAGCCUGAUGGAGCAACACCGCGUGAGUGAAGAAGGGUUUCGGCUCGUAAAGCUCUGUUGUUGGAGAAGAACGUGCGUGAGAGUAACUGUUCACGCAGUGACGGUAUCCAACCAGAAAGUCACGGCUAACUACGUGCCAGCAGCCGCGGUAAUACGUAGGUGGCAAGCGUUAUCCGGAUUUAUUGGGCGUAAAGCGAGCGCAGGCGUUUGCUUAGGUCUGAUGUGAAAGCCUUCGGCUUAACCGAAGAAGUGCAUCGGAAACCGGGCAACUUGAGUGCAGAAGAGGACAGUGAACUCCAUGUGUAGCGGUUGAAUGCGUAGAUAUAUGGAAGAACACCAGUGGCGAAGGCGGCUGUCUGGUCUGCAACUGACGCUGAGGCUCGAAAGCAUGGGUAGCGAACAGGAUUAGAUACCCGUGUAGUC
RNAcentral lists this ribosomal RNA (464 nucleotides) under uncultured bacterium. Its description in RNAcentral is "partial 16S ribosomal RNA". It matches the Rfam family "Bacterial small subunit ribosomal RNA", at positions 338 to 795 of the family's 1533-position model. The record is from RNAcentral.